RNAcentral lists this non-coding RNA (221 nucleotides) under Medicago truncatula (barrel medic). Its description in RNAcentral is "Bacterial small subunit ribosomal RNA". It matches the Rfam family "Bacterial small subunit ribosomal RNA", at positions 547 to 755 of the family's 1533-position model. Lineage: Eukaryota; Viridiplantae; Streptophyta; Magnoliopsida; Fabales; Fabaceae. The record is from Rfam by way of RNAcentral.
GGAAUGAUUGGGCGUAAAGCGUCUGUAGGUGGCUUUUUAAGUUCACCGUCAAAUCCCAGGGCUCAACCCUGGACAGGUGGUGAAAACUACUAAGCUAGAGUACGGUAGGGGCAGAGGGAAUUUCCGGUGGAGCGGUGAAAUGCGUAGAGAUCGGAAGGAACACCAAUGGCGAAAGCGACAUUUUCCAUCGCUCUCGGUUCACCAUUAUUGAAUGGUUCACU